This 3013-nucleotide small RNA is filed under the name Rattus norvegicus (Norway rat). RNAcentral's name for it is "uncharacterized LOC102546835". Lineage: Eukaryota; Metazoa; Chordata; Mammalia; Rodentia; Muridae. The record is from RNAcentral.
UGCAGGCAAGAAGAUGGAACUGGAAAAUAUCAUCUGAAUGAGGACUGAAGUCAAGGACUGCUGUGGUUGAAUUAAGGAAAGGCUGGAAGAAGCUGAAGAGGUUGGCGACCCCAAAAGAAGACCAGAAGUCUCAACUCUCCCAGACUCCUGAGAUCUCUCAGACAUUGAGUCCCCAACCAGCAGCAUACAAGAACUGGUGGGAGGACCCUGACGCAUAUACAGCAGAGGACUGCCUGGUCUGGCCUCAGUGAGAGAAUCCUUGCCUAACCCUUUAGAGACUUGAGGACCCAGGAAGUGGGGAGACCUGGUCAGUGUCUUCGAGUAACUGUUGGUUGCCUUUGGUGGCCAGAUGAUGGUGUGAGAUCCCCUAAACUGGAUUUACUGACAUUUUGGUUCAGUGGUAGCUAUCAACACAGCAGAAUCCAAAAUCAGCUUGGAGGCAAGUCCUUCGGACAUCUCUGAGGGGUCAUCUUGUUGUUUGAAGAACCAUCUUAAUUGUAACUAAGAACAUCCCCUGGGUGGAAAAUCCUGUAUUGCAUAAAAUGAUGAAGGCAGGAGAAAUGACUUCAAUUCAACAUGAAAUUAAUCCCCCAGACCAUCAUUAGAGUGCAAAGGUGACCUGAGCAUCUGAGCCUUCAGGAAGACAUGCUUCAUGGAUCUCAAUUUGGAUUUCUGAACAGAGAAACAGGUAUCAUCAAUUACUGGUACUUGUAAUGCACAACAUUGCCAUGAAGAAAACGGAAUUAGCACAGAGCAUGCAGAGUACCUUCCAACUCCAUGAACAUUACAUGUGAAGCUUCAAGUUUGGUAUCUGCACAAUUUCUCAAUGGUUGAUGACAGAAGUAUCUCUGAUACGGAGUCUCAGUGUACUUUGUAGUGAGGUUGCAAAUUCAAGCACUAAUGCAAUGCUUCCUGUCAGCCUCCUGAGAAGAUCACACUGGAGACCACUACUCUGAUCUAUGAUAUAAACUGCAAGAACUUUCCUGAUGAGGAAUAGGACUCUGUGUUUAUACCCUUAACCAAUGCUGUAACUGUGAUCUAUGGCAAGGGAAGAACAAGAUCUCAGGACUGGUUCAUCACCUUACUAAGAUAUUCAAAAUUACAUAAUACUAGAAGAACUUUUUUUUCUUACAAUCUUAGAAUGUGGAGGGAAUCUUAUUUAACUAGUGUACAGUUGACAGAGGAUACCUAGGGAGUUUAUUCCCAUGCUGAGAUACCAAUUCCUUACUACUGUCCACAGCAUUCUUAGAUACUUCCUUUUCAAAGUGAGUCUAGCAGAGGCAAAAAGUUCGUAGUCGUUCAUACUGUAAUUUAGAAUUAUACAAAAAGUGUUUAUGCAUAGACAGUGGAUAGAAAGGCUCAAUUCUGCAACUCAUGUGUUAUCUUUGACUUUUUAAAAGGAGCUGUUCACUAGAGAGUAGCUGCAAGGAAUGGAAAAUUUGAUGAGCCACACUGAGGAAGACUGAGGAAGCGGAGAGCUGACAUCAAUUCACAUUAUGGUGUAAUCAUUUUUCUAUAAACGGAAAACCAGAAGUCUCAACUAUCCCGGACUCCUGAGAUCUCUUAGACAUUGAGCCCAACCAGCAUCAUAGAAGAAUUGGUGGGAGGACACUGACACAUAUACAACAGAGGACUUCCUGGGCUGGUCUCAGUCAAUGUCUUUGAAUAACUGUCCAUUGCAUUUGGUGGCCAGAUGAUGGUGUGAGAUCCCCUGAAACUGGAAUUAGUGAUAUUUGUGAGUUGCCUUGUGGGUUCAGGAGAGUUAACCUGGUUUCCCUGGAAGAUCAGACAGUCCUUUUUAUUACUGAGCCAUACCUCCAUUCCCUCUUCUUAAUUCUGUUUUUAAUUCUUCUCCCACGUAUUACAUCUCCAAAACAGAGCUUUUCAUCUCUCCUCUCCUCAGGGUCAGUCUUCCCCACCUGUAUCUCCCCCCAAGACCGUUCCUGUAUUAUUGUCAUGUGUCUCUAAUGUAGUAUCUUGUUUGUGGAGUUUUGUUAUUUGGUUACACUGUCAGUGCUAAAAAGAUUUGUUGUAAGAUUUAAAUUUGUGUUUUGUUUUUUAAAUAAUUUUAAAGGAAAUUUAUUGUGUUUGCAAAAUAUUGUCAAUAUUAAAAUAUGAACAUUCUCUAUGUUUAUUUUGUGGUUCAGUGGUAGCUAUCAACAUGGCAGAAUCUGAAAUCAACUUGGAGGCAAGUCCUUCGGACAUCUGUGAGGGGUCAUCUUGUUGUUUGAAGAACUAUCUUAAUUGUAGCUAAGAACAUCCCCUGGGUGGAAAAUCCUGUAUUGUAUAAAAUGAUGAAGGCAGGAGAAAUGGCUUCAAUUCAACAUGAAGUUAAUCCCCCAGACCAUCUUAAGAGUCCAAAGGUGACCUGACUAUCUGAGCCUUCAGGAAGACAUGCUUCAUGGAUCUUAAUUUGGAUUUCUGAACAGAGAAACAGGUCAUUGGUAGAUAAGUUAAACUUUCAAAAUCAGAGAGGAUCCUAUAAUUCUUAUCCAGUAUUGUAUAGGUAUCAAUUGCACAUAGCUUCUAAUUAGAGGUAGGACUCCAUUUCUGUUUCUCCUGUUUACCUCUGAGUCUUUUGUUCAGUUUGAACUCAGAAAUCUUGUGUAUGCUUGAAUAAUCGCUGUGAGUGGAAAUGUUUCUAGGUCCUGUUGUACAUGGAAGAGUCUUGUUCUUGAGAGUCAUCUAUCAUCUCUUGCUCCUAAAGUCUUUCUAAUUCCCCUCCCCAUAGAUUUGUGAUGCUUCAGGGGAAAGGUUCGAUGAAGAAAUCUUACUCAGGACAAGUGCUCCAAAGUCUCUCACUGUCUACAAUAUCCAGUUGCAGUUCUCCAAGCUAGUUCCCAUCUACUAGAGGAAGAAGCUCCUCUGAUGUGAGUUAAGUAAUGCACUGGUCUAUGGAUAUAACUAUGUAAUUUUGAGUCACUUCAUUGUAAUGUGACAUUUGCAGAAUUAUACUGGUUUUCUACUAGACCCAUUUUUGGGUUCUUGAGCACAUUAACAGUGUCUUGUAUGA